UGUGUGUGUGUUUGUGUGUGUGUGUGUCUGUGUGAGCGUGUGUGUCCGGCAGAAGUGGCAAAGCUUCAUGCCUCCUAUCUUGCAGCACCUCCCCCUCCCUCGCUCCCUUUUUGUGUUCGCAGGGAUCUGAGGAACGAUCCCUUCAUAUCCAUUCAAACGCACAUGAAUUUCCAAAUGCCUGUUUCCACUACUUGUCAAGGUUAAUAGCCAUCAGUGAUAAGAGCCUGAGGCACUUAUGAUCCUCAGGACACCACAUCGCCCCUUGUGGUCGCUCUUAAGUGUGGACAGAAUCUUGUGCCAAGUUUCAUCCAGGCAUUUGCGCGAAAAUGGAGGGAAGAAAGAGUUGUUUUAGGACUAUUGUGUUUCAGGUUCAUAAAGCAAGUCCAGUCCAGCAAUCAAGACGCCUUAAGAAAUGACAUUCCUUGAGCAUGCGCUUGCCAUCCAAGUGUGGGUGACCAAAAAAAUGCUCCCUAAAGGACAUCCCUUACCCUUUCUGGCUGGGACGGCUCAAAAAAAGUGUACUGGUGAAGUAAUGUGUUGUGUUGAAGAGAAGAGACAAUACAGAUUUGUUCUUAAUGGGGCGCUAACUAUGCCUUUCAGACUAAACCCAUAACAGUAAUGAUCCUCCACGUAGCUGCACAGUUAACCCUGCAUGAAUGCACAUCCCCUGUCCCAGAGCGGGGUCGAUCAGAGCACAAAUCGAGUCCGGUCAUUCCAGUGGCCUUCUACAUUCUCAAUGAGCGGAAUCAUUUCCCUCCUUUUUUCCCAAAGAAUAUUAAUAAAUAUGCAAAAGUGAGAAUAUUUUCAAAAUGUUCAAAUGGAGAAAAAAAAGGUUGUUGAGUAUGUUGAUAUGCAAUACUUGUCACAUCUUGUCUUUGUCAGCCGUUCCAUUUGUGUGUGUGUGUGUGUUUGUCUGAUUGGGUAUAUGUGCAUGGGCCUCUGUUAUAGAGGUCCAAACUAUUUCACUCUGGUCCUUCAUCUGCAGAGUGGCAUUGACAGAAACAGGAGGCACAUAUCCUUCUUUGCCUCGCUGCUGGAUUUCCGCCAGCGGUGUGGUGUGGGUAUCAGGUCCCGGUACUCUCUCAAAGGGCCUGCACUGUUCUCCCCCAGGUUUCUGUUGAAAGACAGGGACUUGGCGUGCACCUGAGACACAGAGCUUAAAUCUGGGACCACGCCAGACUCCCAGCUAGUCAAGGCAGGCCAGACUCCUCUGAUGAACCCUUUCUGUGCUCCAUAAAGGUCAAGGCUUUUACUCAAGGUUCUGAGAGCUCUCAGCCAACUCUUAUGCAUGUUGUUAUAAGGAAAUGACUCUUGAUGUUAUCCAAGCUAGAGCAAUUUACAGUUGUCUUCAUGGCCACAGCAUGCACACAGUCCGUUAUGGCACAUGGCUGGCAUGAUUGUAACAUCUGACCUUACUAAUGUUCUGGUCUCUUUAUUAAUCACGAAUGUAACGUAAUAGCCACUCCAGAGAUAUAUGAUUGAAGCAUUGGUGUCAUCAUCAGUGAUGUGUUUUCAUCCCACGUAUGUCUGUAUUGAGUUGAGUGCUGUAGGCAUGUGGCCAUCCAGGCUAUCUUUAGUGUUCAAUAGAAUUUUUUUUUUUAAACCAAAGGUUGUUAUCUAUGGCAGCUUGCGUGACAUGCAAUCAUAUGUAGAUCAAAAAAUAUAUAUAUAAGAGAUACACUGCUGCUGCAAAGUUGUUUUAUACAAAGUAUUUUAGUCUUGAAAGCCUGCACUCCUAAGAUCUGCAAAAAAAAAAAUGACUCCAUUAAGAAAUGUGCUCUCAUGAAACUGUAAAUAUCUGAAUAAAACUACAUAUCAGUA
This is a long non-coding RNA of Clupea harengus (Atlantic herring), 1821 nucleotides long. Lineage: Eukaryota; Metazoa; Chordata; Actinopteri; Clupeiformes; Clupeidae. The record is from Ensembl.